UACGGGAGGCAGCAGUGGGGAAUAUUGCACAAUGGGCGCAAGCCUGAUGCAGCCAUGCCGCGUGUAUGAAGAAGGCCUUCGGGUUGUAAAGUACUUUCAGCGGGGAGGAAGGCGAUGCGGUUAAUAACCGCGUCGAUUGACGUUACCCGCAGAAGAAGCACCGGCUAACUCCGUGCCAGCAGCCGCGGUAAUACGGAGGGUGCAAGCGUUAAUCGGAAUUACUGGGCGUAAAGCGCACGCAGGCGGUCUGUUAAGUCAGAUGUGAAAUCCCCGGGCUUAACCUGGGAACUGCAUUUUGAAACUGGCAGGCUUGAGUCUGUAGAGGGGGUAGAAUUCCAGGUGUAGCGGUGAAAUGCGUAGAGAUCUGGAGGAAUACCGGUGGCGAAGGCGGCCCCUGGGCAAAGCUGACGCUCAGGUGCGAAAGCGUGGGGAGCGAAACAGGAUUAGAUACC
RNAcentral lists this ribosomal RNA (452 nucleotides) under uncultured bacterium. RNAcentral's name for it is "bacterial SSU rRNA". It matches the Rfam family "Bacterial small subunit ribosomal RNA", at positions 340 to 786 of the family's 1533-position model. The record is from RNAcentral.